CCUAAUACAUGCAAGUCGAGCGGACCGACGGGAGCUUGCUCCCUUAGGUCAGCGGCGGACGGGUGAGUAACACGUGGGUAACCUGCCUGUAAGACUGGGAUAACUCCGGGAAACCGGGGCUAAUACCGGAUGCUUGAUUGAACCGCAUGGUUCAAUCAUAAAAGGUGGCUUUUAGCUACCACUUACAGAUGGACCCGCGGCGCAUUAGCUAGUUGGUGAGGUAACGGCUCACCAAGGCGACGAUGCGUAGCCGACCUGAGAGGGUGAUCGGCCACACUGGGACUGAGACACGGCCCAGACUCCUACGGGAGGCAGCAGUAGGGAAUCUUCCGCAAUGGACGAAAGUCUGACGGAGCAACGCCGCGUGAGUGAUGAAGGUUUUCGGAUCGUAAAACUCUGUUGUUAGGGAAGAACAAGUACCGUUCGAAUAGGGCGGCACCUUGACGGUACCUAACCAGAAAGCCACGGCUAACUACGUGCCAGCAGCCGCGGUAAUACGUAGGUGGCAAGCGUUGUCCGGAAUUAUUGGGCGUAAAGCGCGCGCAGGCGGUUUCUUAAGUCUGAUGUGAAAGCCCCCGGCUCAACCGGGGAGGGUCAUUGGAAACUGGGGAACUUGAGUGCAGAAGAGGAGAGUGGAAUUCCACGUGUAGCGGUGAAAUGCGUAGAGAUGUGGAGGAACACCAGUGGCGAAGGCGACUCUCUGGUCUGUAACUGACGCUGAGGCGCGAAAGCGUGGGGAGCGAACAGGAUUAGAUACCCUGGUAGUCCACGCCGUAAACGAUGAGUGCUAAGUGUUAGAGGGUUUCCGCCCUUUAGUGCUGCAGCAAACG
This 830-nucleotide ribosomal RNA is filed under the name Bacillus sp. M_Sw_HS_04/11_8_2(1). RNAcentral's name for it is "bacterial SSU rRNA". It matches the Rfam family "Bacterial small subunit ribosomal RNA", at positions 47 to 857 of the family's 1533-position model. Lineage: Bacteria; Bacillati; Bacillota; Bacilli; Caryophanales; Bacillaceae. The record is from RNAcentral.